This 468-nucleotide ribosomal RNA is filed under the name uncultured bacterium. RNAcentral's name for it is "partial 16S ribosomal RNA". It matches the Rfam family "Bacterial small subunit ribosomal RNA", at positions 28 to 507 of the family's 1533-position model. The record is from RNAcentral.
GACGAAUGCUGGCGGCGUGCUUAACACAUGCAAGUCGAACGGAAAGGCCCUGCUUUUGUGGGGUGCUCGAGUGGCGAACGGGUGAGUAACACGUGAGUAACCUGCCCUUGACUUUGGGAUAACUUCAGGAAACUGGGGCUAAUACCGGAUAGGAGCUCCUGCUGCAUGGUGGGGGUUGGAAAGUUUCGGCGGUUGGGGAUGGACUCGCGGCUUAUCAGCUUGUUGGUGGGGUAGUGGCUUACCAAGGCUUUGACGGGUAGCCGGCCUGAGAGGGUGACCGGCCACAUUGGGACUGAGAUACGGCCCAGAAUCCUACGGGAGGCAGCAGUGGGGAAUAUUGCACAAUGGGCGGAAGCCUGAUGCAGCAACGCCGCGUGCGGGAUGACGGCCUUCGGGUUGUAAACCGCUUUCGCCUGUGACGAAGCGUGAGUGACGGUAAUGGGUAAAGAAGCACCGGCUAACUACGUG